AAAGUCGUAACAAGGUUUCCGUAGGUGAACCUGCGGAAGGAUCAUUACCGAGUUAGGGUGUCUCUCUCGACGCCCGACCUCCAACCCUUUGUCUACCUGACCUUAUGUUGCUUCGGCCGGCCCGCCCCCUCCUCUCUUGGGGAGGGAGCCGCCGGGGGUGCUUCACCGCCCCCUGGCCCGCCGCCGGCCGGUAGCCCGUAUAAACUCUUGUUAAAAAACGUGUCGUCUGAGUACGUGUUAUACCAAUAACUAAAAAACUUUCAACAACGGAUCUCUUGGUUCUG
RNAcentral lists this unclassified non-coding RNA (284 nucleotides) under Ascomycota sp. RNAcentral's name for it is "partial contains small subunit ribosomal RNA, internal transcribed spacer 1, and 5.8S ribosomal RNA". The stretch from base 1 to 47 matches the Rfam family "Eukaryotic small subunit ribosomal RNA", at positions 1785 to 1831 of the family's 1831-position model. Lineage: Eukaryota; Fungi; Ascomycota. The record is from RNAcentral.